CGUGGGGGGGGGGUUCGCCUCCCCCUGCUCCCUGAGCCCGUGGCGUUCCCUUGGAUCACGAUCUCAUGGGGAAUUUGUCUUUUUUUCUGCUGCAUACCUGCCGCCCCCCUGCGGGGCCGGCGCUGGCAUUGUUGCUGCUGGCAGUG
This 146-nucleotide non-coding RNA is filed under the name Chroomonas cf. mesostigmatica. The record is from RNAcentral. Lineage: Eukaryota; Cryptophyceae; Pyrenomonadales; Chroomonadaceae.